UGCAGUCGAGCGGAUGAGUGGAGCUUGCUCCAUGAUUCAGCGGCGGACGGGUGAGUAAUGCCUAGGAAUCUGCCUGGUAGUGGGGGACAACGUUUCGAAAGGAACGCUAAUACCGCAUACGUCCUACGGGAGAAAGUGGGGGAUCUUCGGACCUCGCGCUAUCAGAUGAGCCUAGGUCGGAUUAGCUAGUUGGUGAGGUAAAGGCUCACCAAGGCGACGAUCCGUAACUGGUCUGAGAGGAUGAUCAGUCACACUGGAACUGAGACACGGUCCAGACUCCUACGGGAGGCAGCAGUGGGGAAUAUUGGACAAUGGGCGAAAGCCUGAUCCAGCCAUGCCGCGUGUGUGAAGAAGGUCUUCGGAUUGUAAAGCACUUUAAGUUGGGAGGAAGGGCAGUAAGUUAAUACCUUGCUGUUUUGACGUUACCAACAGAAUAAGCACCGGCUAACUUCGUGCCAGCAGCCGCGGUAAUACGAAGGGUGCAAGCGUUAAUCGGAAUUACUGGGCGUAAAGCGCGCGUAGGUGGUUCGUUAAGUUGGAUGUGAAAGCCCCGGGCUCAACCUGGGAACUGCAUCCAAAACUGGCGAGCUAGAGUAUGGCAGAGGGUGGUGGAAUUUCCUGUGUAGCGGUGAAAUGCGUAGAUAUAGGAAGGAACACCAGUGGCGAAGGCGACCACCUGGGCUAAUACUGACACUGAGGUGCGAAAGCGUGGGGGAGCAAACAGGAUUAGAUACCCUGGUAGUCCACGCCGUAAAACGAUGUCGACUAGCCGUUGGGAUCCUUGAGAUCUUAGUGGCGCA
RNAcentral lists this ribosomal RNA (800 nucleotides) under uncultured Alphaproteobacteria bacterium. RNAcentral describes it as "bacterial SSU rRNA". It matches the Rfam family "Bacterial small subunit ribosomal RNA", at positions 56 to 850 of the family's 1533-position model. The record is from RNAcentral. Lineage: Bacteria; Pseudomonadati; Pseudomonadota; Alphaproteobacteria.